UCCUACGGGGCGCAGCAGUGGGGAAUAUUGCACAAUGGGGGGAACCCUGAUGCAGCAACGCCGCGUGAGUGAAGAAGUACCUCGGUAUGUAAAGCUCUAUCAGCAGGGAAGAAAAUGACGGUACCUGACUAAGAAGCACCGGCUAAAUACGUGCCAGCAGCCGCGGUAAUACGUAUGGUGCAAGCGUUAUCCGGAUUUACUGGGUGUAAAGGGAGCGCAGGCGGCGCGGCAAGUCAGCGGUAAAAAUGCGGUGCUCAACGCCGUACAGCCGUUGAAACUGGCAGUCUUGAGUGGGCGAGAAGUAU
This 305-nucleotide ribosomal RNA is filed under the name uncultured bacterium. RNAcentral's name for it is "bacterial SSU rRNA". It matches the Rfam family "Bacterial small subunit ribosomal RNA", at positions 337 to 660 of the family's 1533-position model. The record is from RNAcentral.